GUGGGAAGCCAGUGCGGGCUCAAAUAUAAAGUAAGAGGAGAGCUGUUGGAGAGAGGGUCUGCAGAGAAGCACACAGGCUCAGAGGGUCUGCAGAGAAGCACACAGGCUCAGCGGGCAGCAGCUGCAGGGCUGUGAACAAAACAGCAACUGGAGCAUGAAGAAUUUGCCUCCUCUUCCUCGGCUGCCACGCCUCAGGCCUGGUGUGUGCAGCGGCCCACCUCAGUGCUCUCAGGCAGCCGGCGCCCGCCUGCGGAGACUUCAGACAGGGACGGAGUGAAGGACUGAGGGAAACCAGAGCCAUAACCCAUCGAGGGGUGACAGCCUCAGUGAGCUGCAAUGGCAUCCUCCUGCCCACAGGAGCUGGAGGUCUCCAGGCCCUGCACCGACCACCUCCGAAAGCACGAGCACCACCUCUGUGUUGGUGGAGGUGCUGUGGGGUCAGGGCCCCUCUGAGGAGGAGAGAACCAGGGUGAGGAUGUACCUGUACAUUUCUUUCCUAACUGAUGGGCAGCAGUGCAGCAUGCACCUUUGAAAUGCUAAGAUAGCAAUGGAUCUGAAAGCCUGCCCAGAUGGCAAGUGACUUAAGCAGGGGUCUCGUGUGCGCUGGCUGUUUGGGAGUUCAGGUGUGUAACUCACCCUCAGAGACCAGACAUGAGCUCAGCCCACAGCAGACAGACGUGCAGGCUUUGCCAGAAAGGUUAUUCUGCCCCGCAAGGCCAGAGCCACAUGUGCCACUUUACAUUUGAAACAGCUUAUCCCACACCACAGCCGGCAUCACUUCACAGCUGAACUGACCCGAGGGCACAGGAAGAAGAGGAGCCUCCAAUGGAAAGAGCCUCCCGGCCCCAUCACCUGUUCAUUUUCAUUCUGUCCAGCCCACUGUGUCCAGGUCUGUUGUGAGGGCCAUCGGCAGCACGGCACAGGAGGUGAUUCUGUGUUCCGUGAAAACACUGGCCUGAGAUGUUGCUUUCUGGCCUCAAUCCUGCCCUGUUCAGUGCUCAGAAUUUGCUCUACAACCAACAAGAGGCCCCACAGAGUAAGCUGCUCACAGGAAUGCAAGCUGUGCAAAGCAGAAGUAAUGCCAGGUAAUAGCUGUCAGUUGGUUUUCUCUUUCUCUUAUCACUCACUUUCUCAUACAUCCUGGGCAUCCUGUAUUGGUGAAUAAUUUGGGGUGUCAGAGCUGGCAAGUUUUAUGCCCUUCUUACUAAGUUACAUCAUAUACAAUUUAAACCAGAUGUUUUUCAGCAAGUUUUAGCAAUCUCCAGUUCCUUAGCAGAGAAUAUCUGGGGCUUGCUUAGCAUGCUCUCAGCAGAACCCACCUGCACAGGUGCAGGCACUGAUUUCUUCCUUCUACAAAGGCUAAUCUCUAUUGGCUUGAGCCACCCUAGGCAGGUGGUCAUGCUGGUCAGAUUCAUCUCACAACCCUAGAGCAAGAGGUGGUCUCUAUGCCAGCUUCCUGAUAAAAGGCCAGGUGUUGUUGCUAGACACAACAAGGCAGCUCACUUUCCUGGAACAGGAUGUUCUCUACUUUAUUAUCUGUGAUCCUACGGCUAUGCAUGAUGUUAUGCAUGGUCCUACAGCUCUUUCAGUCCUCAUGUAGAGUGGAUGCUGUAACUCACUUGAAGAAUGCUUUGGAAGGUGUCUUCUUAUAAGCUCUUCUUCUUUUUUUUUUUCAUGGUACAUAUACUAUGCAGUUUGUUAGGGUUUAGUAUUAUUUUUAGUUUUCCGUGACUGGUGUUACCACAGGCUGCCUGUGGUACCUGAUGGGUGUGGGGACUCUGCUUUCUUCUGUGCAUUUAAGGUCUUAAAAACACAUGGAGCUGGAAGCAGUGAUGGUGGUGGAUUACGUAAGCCUUGGAGGGAGGUAUAUUGUUGCAGAGCAGAUAGGCAAAAGGUUGUGGGGACACUGCUAAGCACUGGGAUAUGGUGGGUGUAAAACCAGCACAGAAUAAUCCCAACUUUAAGGCAAAGAGUGGCAAGAGCAUGGAGCAGGGGCUUAGGAGGGGACCCUCAUGGCACAGCAGCACAGUAUUUACUAGAGCUAAAUAGGCUGCUGCUAAGGACAAAGAGACCUAUGCAGGAAAGUGGACUAUGGCAGUGAGCUACUUCAGAGUCUGUCCCCAAGACACUGAGUCUCUGGCAUGUAGUACUGACAUGUCACACCC
Numida meleagris (helmeted guineafowl) is the source of this 2165-nucleotide long non-coding RNA. The record is from Ensembl. NCBI's taxonomy places the organism in Eukaryota, Metazoa, Chordata, Aves, Galliformes, Numididae.